GGGGAAUAUUGCACAAUGGGCGAAAGCCUGAUGCAGCGACGCCGCGUGCGGGAUGAAGGCCUUCGGGUUGUAAACCGCUUUUGAUUGGGAGCAAGCGAGAGUGAGUGUACCUUUCGAAUAAGCACCGGCUAACUACGUGCCAGCAGCCGCGGUAAUACGUAGGGUGCAAGCGUUAUCCGGAAUUAUUGGGCGUAAAGAGCUCGUAGGCGGUUUGUCGCGUCUGGUGUGAAAGUCCAUCGCUUAACGGUGGAUCUGCGCCGGGUACGGGCAGGCUAGAGUGCGACAGGGGAGACUGGAAUUCCCGGUGUAACGGUGGAAUGUGUAGAUAUCGGGAAGAACACCAAUGGCGAAGGCAGGUCUCUGGGUCGUCACUGACGCUGAGGAGCGAAAGCGUGGGGAGCGAACAGGAUUAGAUACC
RNAcentral lists this ribosomal RNA (418 nucleotides) under uncultured bacterium. RNAcentral's name for it is "partial 16S ribosomal RNA". It matches the Rfam family "Bacterial small subunit ribosomal RNA", at positions 356 to 786 of the family's 1533-position model. The record is from RNAcentral.